GAAAGCUCGAGCGGCGAACAAUGGCGUCGGAUCAGACUGCGAGGGGCGAGGAUUUCGAGAAGAAGGCCGAGAAGAAGCUCAGCGGAUGGGGUCUCUUCGGAUCCAAGUACGAGGACGCCGCCGAUCUCUACGACAAGGCCGCCAAUUGUUUCAAGCUCGCCAAGAACUGGGAGAGAGCGGCAGCUGUUUACAUUAAACUGGCUGGAAUUCAUAUCAAGCUGGAGAGCAAGCAUGAGGCGGCUUCGGCUUAUAUCGAUGCGGCCAACUGUUACAAGAAGUACUCAAACUCAGAUGCCGCACGAGCCCUAAAUGAAGCUGUAAAUCUUUUUCUGGAGAUUGGCAGACUAAAUAUGGCUGCGAGGUACUGCAAGGAACUUGGUGACUCAUAUGAGGCUGAACAGGACCUCGAGAAGGCUAUGGACUACUUUGAACGGGCUGCGGAUCUUUUUCAAAGCGAGGAAGUGUCAAGCUCUGUAAACCAGUGCAAGCAAAGAGUUGCACAAAUUGCUGCCCAGCUAGAACAGUAUCCGAAGGCAGUUAAGAUAUACGAGGAAGUAGCACGACAAUCGAUGAAUAACAAUCUUCUUAAAUACAGUGUCAAGGGGAUUCUCCUUAAUGCUGGCAUUUGUCAACUAUGUAAAGUUGAUGAUGUCGCAAUCAACAACUCACUAGAGCGAUUUCAGGAACUUGACCCGACCUUCUCAGGCACGCGUGAAUACAAGCUGUUAGCUGACUUGGCAGCUUCAAUCGAAGAAGAAGACAUUGAGAAGUUCACUAACGUCAUCCAGGAAUAUGAUAGCAUGACCCGUCUGGAUCCUUGGAAGACCACCCUUUUACUGAGAGUGAAGAAUACACUGAAAGAAAAGGAGGACAAAGAUGAGGACCUGACCUGAGGCGUGGGCACAGAAUGCUACUGCAAAUUAUAUGCGUUAAGGGUUUUGGCUUUGUAUAAGUUUAUUACCGGGGAUGAUUACGUGGUGUGGUCUGUGUGUUGAAAC
Molecule: unclassified non-coding RNA, 998 nt
Filed under: Hevea brasiliensis (rubber tree)
Lineage: Eukaryota; Viridiplantae; Streptophyta; Magnoliopsida; Malpighiales; Euphorbiaceae
Source: RNAcentral